UCGUCAUGGCGACGGGCACGCUAACACUCCAGUGCCCGUCAGGGGGUCUGUUCCCUGGACUGCAGGGACGAUGGCGCAGAAUCUGUACUGUCCACGAGUGCGGAUGGGAAACUGGAACGAGGACAUCUACUUGGAGGAGGUAUGGAGGGCGUGGCCAGAUGUGGACUGGAACUCCCGAACCCAGCCCAAAGUCCGGCUUCAACUCUGGCUUCCAGCACCCCAGCCUCCUCUCUCCCCCCAGCACACACCAAAUACCCCCCAACCCACCUUCUGGACUGUCCUGCAAGCCCAGGGCUCAUGGGGCUUCUACUCUAAGCACUCUGACGCCCCUUAUAAACUCGGGUGCCUUGCUCUUCCCCUAUGCCCCCCACUUAGGUCAGAGUUCCACUACACUCUCCUGGGCCCUUGGUAGCUAAAGUCUUGAGGCUUCAGAAAGGCAAGCAGGAACCUCUAAAUGCAAUUAGUGUCCCUUUCCUCUCCUCAGCCUGAUGGCCCAGGCCUUCCGGAGGGACAACGGAAAUAUCCCCUUUACUCACGGUGUAUUCAUUGCCUCGCGUUCUCAAACGUCCCUCUUAACAAACCUCUGGGGGAGGGGUGGGCUUUCCGUCCCCAUCCUACAACCCGGGGGUGGGGGGGACCUCAGAAGGGGCGAGAGAGCCUCCAGUUUCUACUCUCGAUUGUCGCUGGCUGGAAUAAUUACAGCUUUGCGUCUUUCUCCCUUUUCUAAACAUUCUCCAGUGACAUAAAGUAUUAAAGUAAUGCUAAAACAUUUUCCCACCACUCUAUUAUGCUCACAUUUCCUUUUCUAUUCUCACAGUUCGCUCUUUCUACUUGAGAUUCUUCUGACUUAAAAGCUACCACUGUUCUAUUUAGGGCUAUUGUCCAUACUUUGGAAUUCAUUCUUUUUCUCCUUAAUCAGGAAUACAUGAAAGACUUUUUAGACAAGAGAGAGAAGGGGAAACUUCUCAUUCAGAGAAACAGAAGACUGAAAAAGAAUCUUUUGAGACCGGUAAUUUAAAAUUCCAACAUUGUUUUCAAAAUUUUGUCGAAUUAAGUGUGAGUAUACGUUAAGCAAGAAAAAAUAACAUUUUUUCCCCAUGUAAAAGUCACAGUGCUUAAAAUUCCUUAACAUUUUAGAAACACAAAGGAAGACUGCUCUUCAUUACGUUUACUUGCAUUUUCCAAAUAAAUAAAUCAAUAGAUUAAUAAUAAUUAAGAUACAUCGUGUUGCUCAGGAAAUUCUCAAUGAAAAUUAAAUUAAUAAUGGAGUUGACACAUUUGAUUUUUCGCUGGCUUUGUCUGGCAUUAUUUGGGAUUGCUGGGAAUUUGGCAUUGGCAAAGUAGAAGGGAAUGGAAGAAAACUCAGGAUUUGAGGGAAUCCAUGUGGGUGCUAGUCUGAGAAGGAAAGAGGGUACACCUGGGAGUGGCCAUGGCCCUGGCUAUUCAGGAAUUGUCUGUUUUUUUUUUUUUUUUUGACAAAUUCUUAUUAAAAUUGUAGAUGCAGCUUUCCAUAUCUGAAGAUGGAUAUAUUCAUUAUGGAGACAAAGUGAUGCUUUUAAAUCCCAACUAUCCUGAGAAGGAAGAAGCUGGUUUGUUUCAGUGUGGGGACCUGAGCCUUUGCAUGACUCCAGAUGAAAUUUCAACUCACUUGUAUGAUGAAUUAGAGGUGCCCUGUGGCCUGAGUGCAACUACAACCAGGAUCCCAGUUGGCAGAAACACUUUUACUAUUUUGAGGUAGAGAUGAUUUGAUUUUCAGUUUUAUAACCAUAGUGUCUGUUUUCACUUGUAGCUUAAGGAUGCCCUGGGAUGGCGCAAUGCUGGCAGGAGGCAAAAGAUAUGUGAACGUUUUCUGGGGUCUCAUCAUGCUGGCUUAACCUUGAGAAUUAUUAGCCUUUACAAUCAUUUUUACCUUAGUAGGAUAAUUGGUAACUUGGGCUCAUUUCAAAAUGUUUGCUUCAUAAUUAUUGGAACCAGGGAAUCAAAUUUGCAUUCUGCUUGAUGCAAAGUGGAGUUUUCUUUUGUUCUUUUGAUACGAACUUUUAUUUUUUAUCUUUUUUCCUCUUUCCAUAUUUUUUAUUGGUGCAUUAUAGUUGUACAUAAUGAUGGAAUUUAUGUGCAUGUGUGAAUAUGUAACAACAAUAUAACAAUAUAAUUAGGCCAAUAUUACACCCCUGUACUCCCCUGCCCCCCCACCACCACUCCCUUCUGCCUUCUGCUCCCUUUCCUCUACUGAUCUCCUUUUGAUUUUUUAAAGCUUUCUAAUAACACAGAAACUUUGAAUUCAUCUGAGUGAUAUUGUCAUUCUUAAUGAAUGUUGUUGUUAUUUUUACAACAAAAAUUAGUUUGAUACAAGUUGGUGGUAGAUGGAAUUUGCUCUUUAAAAAUUAAAUGUCCAUUAAAAUGUACAACCUGCAUUUUAAGAGGAAAGAUUGUAUUAAAUAUCUAUGAAUGUGCUACCUUGGUUACCUCCAAAAAUGUCAAUGCAUUUUACCAGAAUUUCUUAGUGUACAUUAGCAUAAUGUGCUUGGGCAACUCCAGCCAAAGGCUUGCAAAGUGGGGAUGCCCUGCAUCCUGGCUAUGGAGCAGGCAAGGAAGAACAUGGCAGCUGGAUUUUACCCCCAACCCAACAGACCUUUUAUUUAGUUAUCUAAUUCAGUUAUAGAAUGUGAAUAGAUUAUCAAGAAAAUAUAUUAUAAACAAAAUUGAAUAAGAAAAGGUAGAUCUGUAGACUGAUCCUAAUCUGGGUAGUUAUAUUGUAUUUAUUUUCCCCUGACAGUGCAGGUAAAGAUGCCACUGGUCAAGUCCUUAGAUAUGGACAGGACUUUUACCUUGGAAUAACA
This 2840-nucleotide long non-coding RNA is filed under the name Marmota monax (woodchuck). The record is from RNAcentral. Lineage: Eukaryota; Metazoa; Chordata; Mammalia; Rodentia; Sciuridae.